GGAGGGAUCAUUACUGAGUUUACGCUCUAUAACCCUUUGUGAACAUACCUAUAACUGUUGCUUCGGCGGGCAGGGUCUCCGUGACCCUCCCGGCCUCCCGCCCCCGGGCGGGUCGGCGCCCGCCGGAGGAUAACCAAACUCUGAUUUAACGACGUUUCUUCUGAGUGGUACAAGCAAAUAAUCAAAACUUUUAACAACGGAUCUCUUGGUUCUGGCAUCGAUGAAGAACGCAGCGAAAUGCGAUAAGUAAUGUGAAUUGCAGAAUUCAGUGAAUCAUCGAAUCUUUGAACGCACAUUGCGCCCGCCAGCAUUCUGGCGGGCAUGCCUGUUCGAGCGUCAUUUCAACCCUCAAGCUCUGCUUGGUGUUGGGGCCCUACAGCUGAUGUAGGCCCUCAAAGGUAGUGGCGGACCCUCCCGGAGCCUCCUUUGCGUAGUAACUUUACGUCUCGCACUGGGAUCCGGAGGGACUCUUGCCGUAAAACCCCCCAAUUUUCCAAAGGUUGACCUCGGAUCAGGUAGGAAUACCCGCUGAACUUAAGCAUAUCAAUAAGCGGAGGAAAAGAAACCAACAGGGAUUGCCUCAGUAACGGCGAGUGAAGC
RNAcentral lists this ribosomal RNA (600 nucleotides) under fungal endophyte. RNAcentral describes it as "eukaryotic LSU rRNA". The stretch from base 186 to 339 matches the Rfam family "5.8S ribosomal RNA". Lineage: Eukaryota; Fungi. The record is from RNAcentral.